RNAcentral lists this transfer RNA (68 nucleotides) under Marmota monax (woodchuck). Its description in RNAcentral is "tRNA.Ala". The stretch from base 5 to 65 matches the Rfam family "tRNA", at positions 6 to 65 of the family's 71-position model. Rfam says of the family: Transfer RNA (tRNA) molecules are approximately 80 nucleotides in length. Their secondary structure includes four short double-helical elements and three loops (D, anti-codon, and T loops). The record is from RNAcentral. Lineage: Eukaryota; Metazoa; Chordata; Mammalia; Rodentia; Sciuridae.
GGAUUGUGGCUCAGUGGUAGAGUGCUUGCCCAGCACGCAUGAGGCACUAGGUUCAAUCCCUAGCACCA